This 581-nucleotide ribosomal RNA is filed under the name uncultured eukaryote. RNAcentral describes it as "eukaryotic LSU rRNA". The stretch from base 211 to 364 matches the Rfam family "5.8S ribosomal RNA". The record is from RNAcentral.
CUUGGUCAUUUAGAGGAAGUAAAAGUCGUAACAAGGUCUCCGUUGGUGAACCAGCGGAGGGAUCAUUAUCGAGUUAUUCAACUCCCAAACCCUAUGUGAACUUACCACUUGUUGCUUCGGCGCGCGCUUCGGCGCCGCCGAGGACACUUAAACUCUUUGUUUUUAUAAGCAUUUCUGAGUGGCCGAAAGGCAAAAAUACAAAUGAAUCAAAACUUUCAACAACGGAUCUCUUGGUUCUGGCAUCGAUGAAGAACGCAGCGAAAUGCGAUAAGUAAUGUGAAUUGCAGAAUUCAGUGAAUCAUCGAAUCUUUGAACGCACAUUGCGCCCGCCAGCAUUCUGGCGGGCAUGCCUGUUCGAGCGUCAUUUCAACCCUCGAGCCCGACUCUUUUGAGGACGGCUCGGCGUUGGGGGACGGCAGACUCCCCCCGGCAUCUCGCCGGGGACGCCGCCCCCGAAAUCUAGUGGCGGCCCUCCGAGGCGACCUCUGCGUAGUAACUUGUUCUCGCACCGGAAAGCUCAGAGCGGCCACGCCGUAAAACCCCAACUUUUUUCAGGUUGACCUCGAAUCAGGUAGGACUAC